This 3760-nucleotide long non-coding RNA is filed under the name Mus musculus (house mouse). RNAcentral describes it as "long non-coding RNA chr6:45080745-45084505". Lineage: Eukaryota; Metazoa; Chordata; Mammalia; Rodentia; Muridae. The record is from RNAcentral.
UUUCCAGCUUUGUAUUUUUAGAGUUUCCUUGUGUGGGAGUAUGUGCAGCUCUGAAUCUACAAGUUACUUUGGUGCUUUUUCUUUUGUUUAUUCAUAUUUAUUCUGUUUUAUUUGUCUUAUUCUGUUUUGUUUAUUAUUGCUGUCGUUGUUUUUGUUGUAGUUGUUAUAUGUCUAUUUGUGUUUUAGUAAUAAAGAGAAAAAAGGUGGUAGAAUUGGUUUUGUGGGGAAAUAGGAGAGUUAGGAGGAGUGUGAGGGAAACCGUAAUGAGAAUAUAUUGUUUACUAGAUAUUGACGUUCAAUAAAACAUAAAAGAAAAAAUACAGAAGGCUCAGUAUUUCAUAAGUUAGAUCUUGUAAGUAAAGAUGAUUCCAUAGCAAGAACUGACCCAUUAUUAUGUAUAUCUCAGAUUACACAUUUAAAUAUAUGUUGAAAAAAAUUAGAUAAUCACUUGGUUUGGAAGUUAGAGCAAGGAGAUGUCACCUUGUCACCUGUGUGUGUUUCUUGCAUAGCAGUAUUAGGAAACAUCAGAGCUGGUAUCAUGGAGGCUAUUGUGAAGAAAGCAGACUAUGUACAAAAGUUCUUAUCAUUUGUCAAUGUGAACAUGAACUGCCAUCAGUAUUUCAUUAAUUAAAUCUAGAGAAAAACUAAAAUGCCUUUUCUCACAAUUCCUCACUUAGUGCAGAUGGACAGAUCCAUUCAUACACCAAGAUUUAUCUUUUGACACAUGUUGAACAAGCCAUGCUAAAUUUCUUAUAUUUCAAUUAAGUGUGCACAAAUAGCAGAAAACUGUUUUAAAGAUAUUCAUGAUGCAAUUAUUGGGGCAUAAAUAUAAGUGAUACAAGCGAGUCCUCUAUGUCACAAUUUGAAAGAAAAACACAGAUUGUAUAGAGCCAUGAGAAACUGCUGGGUAGUAUAAAACAAUGUAUUUUACUUCUUUAUAUUUCACUUAACACUAUUAUAAAUGCAAGGGAAUUCAAAUAGUUUAUUUCUGAAGUCUAAUCUAGUUAAAAGAGAAAACAAAAUGAAUAGGACUCUUUUUAUGCUCAGAUUUUACUCCAUGCCUAACUGGAGCUUUGGAUAGCUUUAAGAUUAUUUCUUACAUUUAAGUAACAGUUUGUAUGUAAAUUGUUUAAUAACUACUUUUCCAUUGAGAAGUGCUCAUUUGGUUUCAAUCAUUAGUGAUGUUAGUAGAUAGCUAUGAAAUUUAAAUCUAAGAGAAUGAAGCAAUUCUUCCUAGGAUAUACCAUUUCCAAAAGCUAUACAAAAUAUUAAUUACACCAUAGUCAUAAGACAAUGCUGUAGAUAAUAAUACAUUGCAAGCCAGACAUUAUGAUAUAUCAGAUAACAAGGAAAAAAUAAAAUAAAACAGACUUGCCUUUCUAUAUGAAUAAACCUGGUAAGAUUCCACCAACAUUAAUCUAACCAUGGUUUCCAAGUCACUCUUGUUCUGGGGAUCCACAAAGUAUACAUGUGUAUAUGUUAUUUACUCCAGAGUUUUUAGGAAAAUAGUAAGGUGAGCUGCCUGCAGGUGCCUCCAAGUAGAAGGCAAAGUGCUGUCCAUAAAACCCACUGUCAUUUACUAACACACAAGUGCUAUUACUUCUAAAUGCUGUUUCUACCUAAAGGUUGGAAACAUUGCUAAACUUUGUUAAUGUAUAGAGAAAGUCUAGUAAAGUGAAUGGGAUUGAUUACUGUACUAAAUGGCUUUUCUAGUACAAACAGCAUGGUACUUUCACUGUAUAAAACCCAACGUUACCACAUGGAACAUAAAAGAAGGCUGUAGAUAAUUGUGAUGCCUUCUCAUUGGUAUAUUCCCUUUGUGCACAUAAAAAUAAGAUAAAUUGUAAUGUAUAUAAUGCAAUCCAUUAUAUGAAAAAAAAUAAAAAUAAGCAAAUGAAACCUACUAUUUAUUUAUAUUUUAUUUUUGAUUGUUUAUAAGAAUAUUUGCAAUCCAGUACCUGGUGAAGGUGGAGGAUUCAGGAUAGCAUAUAUUCCUGGCAGUGUCCUCUAGGCAUUGAAGUGUUAAUGGGAAAUAGUGCAGUUCCCUGGGGUUCCAAGGAUGUUGCUAAGGAAAUUAUGCAUUCUUCUCUCUUGGGAUUUGAUUCCACAGAAAUUAAGAAAUAUGUUUGUUGUUUAACUUUGUGUGGCUUAGUUCUUUGGGGGUUGAUACAUUUACUCUUAGAUCACCCAUUUAUGAUGUCCUCACCCAUUAAUUCUGAGACCUUGUGAUCAGAUGGAAGCAGAUGAGAAAAUAUCGGUUUAUUCGCUGCUUCCAGCAUUACAUUAAAGACUCAGCAAUUUGAUCUCUAAUGUCAAGAGUAUAUUGUUUUGCAUGACAUUAGUCAUACAUUUUAAUGUUUCUGUAUCUCUAGAUAAGGAAUUUUAAGAGUGUGUAUAGUGCAUAAAACUAUAUGGGAAGCCACAAGAGGGAAGCAAGUAUUAAACAGAAAGGCAAAGGGUACAAUUAGUAAUAUGUGAUAUGAAAGUGGAAAGCAAGUUACUGAAAUUUACAGGGUCCAAGGAAGGAGAGAAAUGGGGAUAAAAAGGAACAAUAGAGGAACAAAAACAAAUCUUGUUUAAGAAUGCCAUCAAGGAGUCCAGUUCUAUGUAAACUUACAUUUUUUAUUCUCAAAAUAGAGAUGUCCUCAUAGAUAUUGAAUCCAUAGGCAUUUAUGAACAGCAAACAAGUAGGAUGUGUUUGAUCCAGUUGUGUGAUUUAAGACAAAAGUACCCCUCAUGGUGAUUUGUUACAAUGAGACAUGCUCCUGAAAGAAACAUCACUGGCUGCAUGUUCUUGCAGACCAUAUCAGCACUCAGGCUAUCACAGCAUCAAGUGUGUCCUUAUAGCUCCUUUCUUUCAGUCACUGAAGAUUCUUCGUCUCUCUUUCAAACUAACAUAAUAAUACGAGUUUAUUAUUUAAAUAUGAUGUUAUAUUUUGCUAUGCUCUAAUAAAAUCCAACUUUUCCAUAAAAUAGAAAAGGAAGAGAAAAAUGCUGAAACAAAAAUACCAAUUAAAACACUGAAUGAAAAUCUUUCAAUUUUGGAAUUUUUGCAAAAAUACUCUUUCAAAUUUAUCAGACCAUAAUACAUCCUAUAUAAAAUAUAAUUUGUUAAAUAUUCAGCCUACCUCCUGCCACGUUUGCCUGAGUAUAUGCCAUCCAGCUUUAGAGUGACAGUCACUUGGAAUUGAUUUUUCAUUUGCCACUCUGUCAUGCAUGUAGAUGCAGUAUGUGAAAGAAAGAUGAGGCCCCUUGAUUACUCUGUAUUUUUCAACUCUGAGUAAGAACAGUAAGAGCCAAAAAAAAGGAGAAAAUACAGAAUGAAUUUUAGUGAAUCACAGCACUUUACUUCAAGGAAAUACCCCCAAAAGAUUUCUUUGAGAAAAGUGAAUUUUAGUAUAAUAUAAUGUUCACAGUUUAUCAAGGAUGGAAUCAGAACUGCCUUUGUGUCCUGUAGGGUAAAAUAACAAUUUAAAUGGGAUAACUUUGAAUCAGAUAACAAUUAAAUUUAACUUUUAAAUAGAAACAGUUUUAUUUCAAUAAAUAAAUGCAUAGGAAAAGAGUAUGUUACAACUGAAUAUCUGAUUCUUUAAAAAGUUACUGAAAGCUGGUUACAUUAUAAAAACUACCAUAUUGCACAGUAUCAUAUUUUCCAGUAAAAUUUACAAAGUUUUCUACAUUUCUUCUCUGAAAUUUUAUUCUUAUAAUUAAUAUUUCUUCUUGAUCAUGAGAAUAAACGCAAUACAAACUAUUACGUUAU